CUACGAUGGUUGUAACGGGUACGGGGAAUUAGGGUUCGAUUCCGGAGAGGCGGCCUGAGAAACGGCCGCCACUUCCAAGGAAGGCAGCAGGCGCGUAAAUUAUCCAAUCCCAAUUCGGGGAGAUAGUGACAAGAAAUACUGAUGUAGGGGCUUCUGGUCCUUACUAUUGGAAUGAGAGCAAUGUAAAAACCUCAUCGAGGAACUAUUGGAGGGCAAGUCUGGUGCCAGCAGCCGCGGUAAUUCCAGCUCCAAGAGUGUAUAUUAAAGUUGUUGCGGUUAAAAAGCUCGUAGUUGACUUUAGGACUUGAGUACAUCGGUACUUCGUAGCUGUAAAAGGUUGCGGGGAAUUAAUGCCGGGUAAUUAUCUUGUCCUAUUCUGGGAGACAUUAAAACACGGUAGAAAAUACUGUGGUUUCUUAGGAUUUACUUUGAAUGAAUUAGAGUGUUUAAAGCAGACGAAAUCCGUCUUGAAUAAUUUAGCAUGGGAUAAUGAAAUAUGACCAUUUGCUCACGAUUCGUUGGUUUCUAGAGCAUUGGUAAUGACUAAUAGGGAUGGUCGGGGUCGUCCAUAUUCUGCGGUCAGAGGUGAAAUUCUAAGACCCGCAGAGGAUGAACAAAUGCGAAGGCAUUCGACAAGGACGUCUUCAUUAAUCAAGAACGAAAGUUAAGGGAUCGAAGAUGAUCAGAUACCGUCGUAGUCUUAACUGUAAACUAUGCAGACUCAGGAUCGGAGGAUGUUAUAUGGAUGACUCUUCUGGCACUGUGAGCGAAAGCAUAAGUAUUCGUGCUCCGGGGGGAGUAUGGUCGCAAGGCUGAAACUUAAAGGAAUUGACGGAAGGACACCACCAGGUGUGGAAUCUGCGGCUUAAUUUGACAACACGGGAAAACUCACCUGGUCCGGACACAGUGAGGAUUGACAGAUUGAUAGCUCUUUCUUGAUUUUGUGGAAGCCGGUGCAUGGCCGUUUUUAGUUGGUGGAGUGAUUUGUCUGCUUAAGUGCGAUAACGAACGAGACCUCGAUCUAUUAAAUAGGGGCGUGAACAGGGGAGUUCUCAUAGGAUAUCUAGGCCUAGCUUGGGUGUUCUUGGGUGCUUCCGUUUAGUUGUUUGCGAAAUUCCCUUCUUAGCGAGACUCCAGGCGAUUAGAGCUAGUCUGGGGAAGCUCGAGGCAAAAACAGGUCUGUGAUGCCGCUCGAUGUCCAGGGCUGCACGCGCAUUACACUGAAGUGUGCAACAAGUAGAAGUAAAAAAUGUCCUAGCGCGUUGGCGUGUAGGAAAUCUUAGAAAGCAUUUCGUGAUAGGGAUUGUGUAUUGAAACUAUUACACAUGAACGAGGAAUACCUAGUAAGGGUGAGUCAUCAACUUGCCCUGAUUACGUCCCUGUCCUUUGUACACACCGCCCGUCGCUUCUACCGAUUGGAUAACUCGAUGAGGACUCGGGA
RNAcentral lists this ribosomal RNA (1441 nucleotides) under uncultured soil eukaryote. Its description in RNAcentral is "SSU rRNA". It matches the Rfam family "Eukaryotic small subunit ribosomal RNA", at positions 341 to 1714 of the family's 1831-position model. The record is from RNAcentral.